GGCACUCGCAGUAUGUAGGGAGCCACCCUUGGAUGAUGCUCGGGAUUUCUUUCCUUUUUUACUCAACAAUUGGUAUUCUGUGCGCUACUCCAAUGGCGAAAAUACAGUUGUCAUGCGGGUUCAGGAAUCCACUUAGGUUUUACUAAUUUCUUUCAAACAUAAUCCAAGAGAUCGUUAAAUCUGGCUAUACAUCUUAUAAAAAAGUCCUUCUUUAUAAUAAAUGUAUUUGCAUCAUCUCACCAAUAAAAUUUCUACAACAAAAAUAUAAUAUUCAAUCUUUUGUUCUAACAAAGUGUUAAUAAGUAGUCGAUAAAUUAAAUCCUUACCUUAAAUUCUUCAAACAUUCUAUCCCUGUCAAGUUCUGGAACCUUUUGUCAGUUGAUCCAGUAGCCGUUGAAGUGCCGAGUAAUGCAUAUUCGCACCUUUUAUCCAACUCCAC
Molecule: long non-coding RNA, 439 nt
Filed under: Capsicum annuum
Lineage: Eukaryota; Viridiplantae; Streptophyta; Magnoliopsida; Solanales; Solanaceae
Description: long non-coding RNA (CANN_LNC017976)
Source: RNAcentral